GUAAUGCCGGAUGUUCCAGUUGAUCGCAUGGUCUUCUGGGAAAGCUUUCGCGGUAUGGGAUGGGGUCGCGUCCUAUCAGCUUGACGGCGGGGUAACGGCCCACCGUGGCUUCGACGGGUAGCCGGCCUGAGAGGGCGACCGGCCACAUUGGGACUGAGAUACGGCCCAGACUCCUACGGGAGGCAGCAGUGGGGAAUAUUGCACAAUGGGCGCAAGCCUGAUGCAGCGACGCCGCGUGAGGGAUGGAGGCCUUCGGGUUGUAAACCUCUUUUAUCGGGGAGCAAGCGAGAGUGAGUUUACCCGUUGAAUAAGCACCGGCUAACUACGUGCCAGCAGCCGCGGUAAUACGUAGGGUGCAAGCGUUAUCCGGAAUUAUUGGGCGUAAAGGGCUCGUAGGCGGUUCGUCGCGUCCGGUGUGAAAGUCCAUCGCUUAACGGUGGAUCCGCGCCGGGUACGGGCGGGCUUGAGUGCGGUAGGGGAGACUGGAAUUCCCGGUGUAACGGUGGAAUGUGUAGAUAUCGGGAA
RNAcentral lists this ribosomal RNA (525 nucleotides) under Bifidobacterium longum subsp. suillum. RNAcentral's name for it is "bacterial SSU rRNA". It matches the Rfam family "Bacterial small subunit ribosomal RNA", at positions 163 to 703 of the family's 1533-position model. Lineage: Bacteria; Bacillati; Actinomycetota; Actinomycetes; Bifidobacteriales; Bifidobacteriaceae. The record is from RNAcentral.